This is a long non-coding RNA of Symphalangus syndactylus (siamang), 354 nucleotides long. RefSeq lists it as uncharacterized. The record is from RefSeq and is a predicted model, not a curated record. NCBI's taxonomy places the organism in Eukaryota, Metazoa, Chordata, Mammalia, Primates, Hylobatidae.
UGUAACACCUUGCGAAGUUCUGCGGCUUCACUCCUGAAGUCAGCAAGACCGCGAAGCCACCAGAAGGAAGAAACUCCAGAUGCAUCUGAACAUCUGAAGGAACAAACUCUGGACACACCAUCUUUAAGAACUGUGACACUCAACUGCAAGGGGUGGCGGCUUCAUUCUUGAUGUCAGGGAGACCAAGAACACACCAGAAGGAACCAAUUCCUGACACAUCAGCUCCAGCAUCAUUUCACUGCUGAUGAGAAUUUUCUCACUAGCAUCUGCUCCUGGUGGUUAUGGUAGAGUGAAUGGGUUUAGCGCAGUAUCAGUUCCCAACCUUUUUGGCACCAGGGACCAAUUUCAUGGAAG